Molecule: ribosomal RNA, 254 nt
Filed under: uncultured bacterium
Lineage: Bacteria
Description: partial 16S ribosomal RNA
Rfam family: Bacterial small subunit ribosomal RNA
Source: RNAcentral
UACGUAGGGCGCAAGCGUUGUCCGGAAUUAUUGGGCGUAAAGAGCUCGUAGGCGGCCUGUUGCGUCCGCUGUGAAAUCCCGGGGCUCAACCCCGGGCGUGCAGUGGAUACGGGCUGGCUGGAGGCAGGCAGGGGAGAACGGAAUUCCUGGUGUAGCGGUGAAAUGCGCAGAUAUCAGGAGGAACACCGGUGGCGAAGGCGGCAUCCUGGACCGGCAUUGACGCUGAGUGAGCGAAAGCCAGGGGAGCAAACAGG